This 253-nucleotide ribosomal RNA is filed under the name uncultured bacterium. RNAcentral describes it as "partial 16S ribosomal RNA". It matches the Rfam family "Bacterial small subunit ribosomal RNA", at positions 524 to 776 of the family's 1533-position model. The record is from RNAcentral.
UACGAAGGGGGCUAGCGUUGUUCGGAAUUACUGGGCGUAAAGCGCACGUAGGCGGAUACUUAAGUCAGGGGUGAAAUCCCGGGGCUCAACCCCGGAACUGCCUUUGGUACUGGGUAUCUCGAGUCCGGAAGAGGUGAGUGGAAUUCCGAGUGUAGAGGUGAAAUUCGUAGAUAUUCGGAGGAACACCAGUGGCGAAGGCGGCUCACUGGUCCGGUACUGACGCUGAGGUGCGAAAGCGUGGGGAGCAAACAGG